GUGGUUCUCUCCCUGCUCUGCAGAUACUAAGCGCUCUGCCUUCCCACAGAUUUUUCGAGUAAUUAGUUGCUCGCUGCCAGUAAACCCAGCCACUUUUGAGGGACAACACGCAUCCUCCUCCCAGUCAAUCUUGCUGUUUUUGAGUUGCUGCCAAUUUUGCUUCUUCUGGGAGCUGGCAGAUGGGUCCUGUCUCUUUCGGCUGAUGAAGAUGUAGAGGCUCAGAGCUCGGAGUUAAACUCUAACGAGGAACAAAGUUGGACAGAACCUCCUAGGUCUCUUCUAGCCCUAAUCUUGCCAGUAUUCCCCAAGGUGCUAGCACAGAGCCUCAGUCAUCGCGCACACACAGCAGCCCUGAACAUGGCAACCCGGGGCAACAUAUUCUGAUGAUGGCCUGGGGCCAGAGUCUGAGAUCUUUGCAGAGAGAAGCGCUCCUGUGGACUUCAGGCAAGGAGUGACCCAUCACCGACAUUCAGUUCGCUGGCCUUGCCUCGGGCUCCGUCACAUGAAAUAGUGGCUUAUCAUGUUUUUCCAUCAUAUGAUGUGGUCAAGAGAGCCCAAGCACUCACCUGCAAAACUCACUCUUCAUUCCGGAUACUUCUGCUCUACCCCUUUCUAGUUCUUGGCACGAAAUGCAAAGUUCCCUUCAGAAAGAAGACCUUGAAAGACAACUUGGUAAGUGCAGCUAUAGAGCUGAGAACAAUGGCACAUCCAUUACCAAAUUAAGGAUUUAAUUUCUGCUGUUACUGUGGCUUCCAGAGUUCAACAAUAAUAAUGCUGGUGAUAUCAGCUGUCUGUGGUGAAAAUAUAUGGGGAAGAAAUCUCAUAUAGGAGUUCCUGUUGAGGCACAGCAGGAAUGAAUCCGACUAGGAACCAUGAGGUUGCAGGUUUGAUCCCUGGCCUUGCUCAGUGGGUUAACGAUCCGGUGUUGCCGUGAGCUGUGGUGUAGUUUGCAGAUGUGGCUCGGAUCCUGCGUUGCUGUGGCUCUGGCUUAGGCCGGCUGCUACAGCUCUGAUUCGACCCCUAGCCUGGAAACCUCCAUAUG
Molecule: long non-coding RNA, 1042 nt
Filed under: Sus scrofa (pig)
Lineage: Eukaryota; Metazoa; Chordata; Mammalia; Artiodactyla; Suidae
Description: lncRNA (ENSSSCG00070008689.1)
Source: RNAcentral